UAGGGAAUCUUCGGCAAUGGACGGAAGUCUGACCGAGCAACGCCGCGUGAGUGAAGAAGGUUUUCGGAUCGUAAAGCUCUGUUGUAAGAGAAGAACGAGUGUGAGAGUGGAAAGUUCACACUGUGACGGUAUCUUACCAGAAAGGGACGGCUAACUACGUGCCAGCAGCCGCGGUAAUACGUAGGUCCCGAGCGUUGUCCGGAUUUAUUGGGCGUAAAGCGAGCGCAGGCGGUUAGAUAAGUCUGAAGUUAAAGGCUGUGGCUUAACCAUAGUACGCUUUGGAAACUGUUUAACUUGAGUGCAAGAGGGGAGAGUGGGAUUCCAUGUGUAGCGGUGAAAUGCGUAGAUAUAUGGAGGAACACCGGUGGCGAAAGCGGCUCUCUGGCUUGUAACUGACGCUGAGGCUCGAAAGCGUGGGGAGCAAACAGGAUUAGAUACCCUGGUAGUCCACACCGUAAACGAUGAGUGCUAGGUGUUAGACCCUUUCCGGGGUUUAGUGCCGUAGCUAGCGCAUUAAGCACUCCGCCUGGGGAGUACGACCGCAAGGUUG
Molecule: ribosomal RNA, 550 nt
Filed under: uncultured bacterium
Lineage: Bacteria
Description: bacterial SSU rRNA
Rfam family: Bacterial small subunit ribosomal RNA
Source: RNAcentral